RNAcentral lists this ribosomal RNA (1474 nucleotides) under Streptococcus thermophilus. RNAcentral describes it as "bacterial SSU rRNA". It matches the Rfam family "Bacterial small subunit ribosomal RNA". Lineage: Bacteria; Bacillati; Bacillota; Bacilli; Lactobacillales; Streptococcaceae. The record is from RNAcentral.
GGACGAACGCUGGCGGCGUGCCUAAUACAUGCAAGUAGAACGCUGAAGAGAGGAGCUUGCUCUUCUUGGAUGAGUUGCGAACGGGUGAGUAACGCGUAGGUAACCUGCCUUGUAGCGGGGGAUAACUAUUGGAAACGAUAGCUAAUACCGCAUAACAAUGGAUGACACAUGUCAUUUAUUUGAAAGGGGCAAUUGUUCCACUACAAGAUGGACCUGCGUUGUAUUAGCUAGUAGGUGAGGUAAUGGCUCACCUAGGCGACGAUACAUAGCCGACCUGAGAGGGUGAUCGGCCACACUGGGACUGAGACACGGCCCAGACUCCUACGGGAGGCAGCAGUAGGGAAUCUUCGGCAAUGGGGGCAACCCUGACCGAGCAACGCCGCGUGAGUGAAGAAGGUUUUCGGAUCGUAAAGCUCUGUUGUAAGUCAAGAACGGGUGUGAGAGUGGAAAGUUCACACUGUGACGGUAGCUUACCAGAAAGGGACGGCUAACUACGUGCCAGCAGCCGCGGUAAUACGUAGGUCCCGAGCGUUGUCCGGAUUUAUUGGGCGUAAAGCGAGCGCAGGCGGUUUGAUAAGUCUGAAGUUAAAGGCUGUGGCUCAACCAUAGUUCGCUUUGGAAACUGUCAAACUUGAGUGCAGAAGGGGAGAGUGGAAUUCCAUGUGUAGCGGUGAAAUGCGUAGAUAUAUGGAGGAACACCGGUGGCGAAAGCGGCUCUCUGGUCUGUAACUGACGCUGAGGCUCGAAAGCGUGGGGAGCGAACAGGAUUAGAUACCCUGGUAGUCCACGCCGUAAACGAUGAGUGCUAGGUGUUGGAUCCUUUCCGGGAUUCAGUGCCGMAGCUAACGCAUUAAGCACUCCGCCUGGGGAGUACGACCGCAAGGUUGAAACUCAAAGGAAUUGACGGGGGCCCGCACAAGCGGUGGAGCAUGUGGUUUAAUUCGAAGCAACGCGAAGAACCUUACCAGGUCUUGACAUCCCGAUGCUAUUUCUAGAGAUAGAAAGUUACUUCGGUACAUCGGUGACAGGUGGUGCAUGGUUGUCGUCAGCUCGUGUCGUGAGAUGUUGGGUUAAGUCCCGCAACGAGCGCAACCCCUAUUGUUAGUUGCCAUCAUUCAGUUGGGCACUCUAGCGAGACUGCCGGUAAUAAACCGGAGGAAGGUGGGGAUGACGUCAAAUCAUCAUGCCCCUUAUGACCUGGGCUACACACGUGCUACAAUGGUUGGUACAACGAGUUGCGAGUCGGUGACGGCGAGCUAAUCUCUUAAAGCCAAUCUCAGUUCGGAUUGUAGGCUGCAACUCGCCUACAUGAAGUCGGAAUCGCUAGUAAUCGCGGAUCAGCACGCCGCGGUGAAUACGUUCCCGGGCCUUGUACACACCGCCCGUCACACCACGAGAGUUUGUAACACCCGAAGUCGGUGAGGUAACCUUUUGGAGCCAGCCGCCUAAGGUGGGACAGAUGAUUGGGGUGAAG